AACAUAGGGGCAAGCGUUGUCCGGAAUUACUGGGCGUAAAGGGCGCGUAGGCGGCCUAUUAAGUCAGAUGUGAAAGGUUGGGGCUUAACCCUGAAAGUGCAUCUGAAACUAGUAGGCUUGAGUAUGGGAGAGGUAAGUGGAAUUCCUAGUGUAGCGGUGAAAUGCGUAGAUAUUAGGAGGAACACCAGUGGCGAAGGCGACUUGCUGGGCAGCAACUGACGCUGAGGCGCGAAAGCCAGGGGAGCAAACGGGAUUAGAUACCCGUGUAGUCCCU
This 274-nucleotide ribosomal RNA is filed under the name uncultured prokaryote. Its description in RNAcentral is "partial 16S ribosomal RNA". It matches the Rfam family "Bacterial small subunit ribosomal RNA", at positions 524 to 798 of the family's 1533-position model. The record is from RNAcentral.